This 484-nucleotide ribosomal RNA is filed under the name uncultured bacterium. RNAcentral's name for it is "partial 16S ribosomal RNA". It matches the Rfam family "Bacterial small subunit ribosomal RNA", at positions 30 to 507 of the family's 1533-position model. The record is from RNAcentral.
AUUGAACGCUGGCGGCAGGCCUAACACAUGCAAGUCGAGCGGAUGAAGGGAGCUUGCUCCUGGAUUCAGCGGCGGACGGGUGAGUAAUGCCUAGGAAUCUGCCUGGUAGUGGGGGAUAACGUCCGGAAACGGGCGCUAAUACCGCAUACGUCCUGAGGGAGCAAGUGGGGGAUCUUCGGACCUCACGCUAUCAGAUGAGCCUAGGUCGGAUUAGCUAGUUGGUGGGGUAAAGGCCUACCAAGGCGACGAUCCGUAACUGGUCUGAGAGGAUGAUCAGUCACACUGGAACUGAGACACGGUCAAGACUCCUAAGGGAGGCAGCAGUGGGGAAUAGUGGACAAUGGGCGAAAGCCUGAUCCAGCCAUGCCGCGUGUGUGAAGAAGGUCUUCGGAUUGUAAAGCACUUUAAGUUGGGAGGAAGGGCAGUAAGUUAAUACGUUGCUGUUUUGACGGUACCAACAGAAUAAGCACCGGCUAACUUCGUG